RNAcentral lists this ribosomal RNA (460 nucleotides) under uncultured bacterium. RNAcentral's name for it is "partial 16S ribosomal RNA". It matches the Rfam family "Bacterial small subunit ribosomal RNA", at positions 338 to 795 of the family's 1533-position model. The record is from RNAcentral.
CCUACGGGAGGCAGCAGUGAGGAAUAUUGGUCAAUGGACGAGAGUCUGAACCAGCCAAGUAGCGUGAAGGAUGACUGCCCUAUGGGUUGUAAACUUCUUUUAUAUGGGAAUAAAAUGUUCCACGUGUGGGAUUUUGUAUGUACCAUAUGAAUAAGGAUCGGCUAACUCCGUGCCAGCAGCCGCGGUAAUACGGAGGAUCCGAGCGUUAUCCGGAUUUAUUGGGUUUAAAGGGGGCGUAGGUGGACUGUUAAGUCAGAUGUGAAAGUUUGGGGCUCAACCGUAAAAGUGCAGUUGAAACUGGCAAUCUUGAGUACAGUAGAGGUGAGCGGAAUUCGUGGUGUAGCGGUGAAAUGCUUAGAUAUCACGAAGAACUCCGAUUGCGAAGGCAGCUCACUGGACUGCAACUGACACUGAGGCUCGAAAGUGUGGGGAUCAAACAGGAUUAGAUACCCGAGUAGUC